GACGAACGCUGGCGGCGUGCUUAACACAUGCAAGUCGAACGGAAAGGCCCUGCUUUUGUGGGGUGCUCGAGUGGCGAACGGGUGAGUAACACGUGAGUAACCUGCCCUUGACUUUGGGAUAACUUCAGGAAACUGGGGCUAAUACCGGAUAGGAGCUCCUGAUGCAUGGUGGGGGUUGGAAAGUUUCGGCGGUUGGGGAUGGACUCGCGGCUUAGCAGCUUGUUGGUGGGGUAGUGGCUUACCAAGGCUUUGACGGGUAGCCGGCCUGGGAGGGUGACCGGCCACAGUGGGACUGAGAUACGGCCCGGACUCCUACGUGGGGCAGCAGUGGGAAAUAUUGCACAAUGGGCGGAAGCCGGAUGCAGCAACGCCGCGUGCGAGAUGACGGCCUUCGGGUUGUAAACCGCUUUCGCCUGUGACGAAGCGUGAGUGACGGUAAUGGGUAAAGAAGCACCGGCUAACUACGUG
This 468-nucleotide ribosomal RNA is filed under the name uncultured bacterium. RNAcentral's name for it is "partial 16S ribosomal RNA". It matches the Rfam family "Bacterial small subunit ribosomal RNA", at positions 28 to 507 of the family's 1533-position model. The record is from RNAcentral.